AGCUCCAAUAGCGUAUAUUAAAGUUGUUGCAGUUAAAAAGCUCGUAGUUGGAUUUGUGGCGUACGAUGGGUUCCCGGCAAUUGUUGUCGGUGGUACUUGUCGUUGCCAUCCUUGGGUGGAAUCUGUGUGGCAUUAGGUUGUCGUGCAGGGGAUGCCCAUCUUUUACUGUGAAAAAAUUAGAGUGUUCAAAGCAGGCUUACGCCGUUGAAUAUAUUAGCAUGGAAUAAUGAGAUAGGACCUUGGUACUAUUUUGUUGGUUUGCGCACCGAGGUAAUGAUUAAUAGGGACAGUUGGGGGUAUUCGUAUUCCAUUGUCAGAGGUGAAAUUCUUGGAUUUUUGGAAGACGAACUACUGCGAAAGCAUUUACCAAGGAUGUUUUCA
This 381-nucleotide ribosomal RNA is filed under the name uncultured eukaryote. RNAcentral describes it as "SSU rRNA". It matches the Rfam family "Eukaryotic small subunit ribosomal RNA", at positions 587 to 972 of the family's 1831-position model. The record is from RNAcentral.